UGGCCUACGGGAGGCAGCAGUGGGGGAUAUUGCACAAUGGGGGAAACCCUGAUGCAGCGACGCCGCGUGGGUGAAGAAGCGCCUCGGCGCGUAAAGCCCUGUCAGCAGGGAAGAAAAUGACGGUACCUGAAGAAGAAGCCCCGGCUAACUACGUGCCAGCAGCCGCGGUAAUACGUAGGGGGCAAGCGUUAUCCGGAUUUACUGGGUGUAAAGGGGGCGCAGACGGCGAUGCAAGCACGGAGUGAAAGCCCGUGUCCCAACCACGGGACUGCUCUUGGACCU
RNAcentral lists this ribosomal RNA (282 nucleotides) under uncultured bacterium. Its description in RNAcentral is "partial 16S ribosomal RNA". It matches the Rfam family "Bacterial small subunit ribosomal RNA", at positions 335 to 634 of the family's 1533-position model. The record is from RNAcentral.